This 68-nucleotide transfer RNA is filed under the name Aconurella diplachnis. RNAcentral's name for it is "tRNA-Trp". Lineage: Eukaryota; Metazoa; Arthropoda; Insecta; Hemiptera; Cicadellidae. The record is from RNAcentral. RNAcentral also lists the same sequence under 1 other name.
AAGACUUUAAGUUAAAAUAAACUCACAACCUUCAAAGUUGUUAAUAUUCUAAGAUUGAAUAAGUCUUA